RNAcentral lists this ribosomal RNA (509 nucleotides) under uncultured bacterium. RNAcentral's name for it is "bacterial SSU rRNA". It matches the Rfam family "Bacterial small subunit ribosomal RNA", at positions 1 to 512 of the family's 1533-position model. The record is from RNAcentral.
GGAUCCAGACUUUGAUUAUGGCUCAGGACGAACGCUGGCGGCGCGCCUAACACAUGCAAGUCGAGCGGGAAGCUUUUUAAGGAUUCUUCGGAUGAAUUAAAAAGUGGAGAGCGGCGGACGAGUGAGUAACGCGUGAGAAACCUGCCCUAUACAGGGGGAUAGCCAUUGGAAACGAUGAUUAAUACCCCAUAUGACCACAGUAUCGCAUGAUACAGCGGUGAAAACUCCGGUGGUAUAGGAUGGUCUCGCGUCUGAUUAGCUAGUUGGUGGGGUAACGGCCUACCAAGGCGACGAUCAGUAGCCGGCCUGAGAGGGUGACCGGCCACACUGGAACUGAGACACGGUCCAGACUCCUACGGGAGGCAGCAGUGGGGAAUAUUGCACAACGGGCGAAAGCCUGAUGCAGCGACGCCGCGUGAACGAUGAAGGCUUUCGAGUCGUAAAGUUCUGUUCUUGGGGAAGAUAACGACGGUACCCAAGGAGAAAGCACCGGCUAAAUACGUGCCAGC